RNAcentral lists this ribosomal RNA (641 nucleotides) under uncultured Desulfosporosinus sp. RNAcentral's name for it is "bacterial SSU rRNA". It matches the Rfam family "Bacterial small subunit ribosomal RNA", at positions 37 to 643 of the family's 1533-position model. The record is from RNAcentral. Lineage: Bacteria; Bacillati; Bacillota; Clostridia; Eubacteriales; Desulfitobacteriaceae.
UGGCGGCGUGCCUAACACAUGCAAGUCGAACGGAGAAUUUCAAUAAGUUUACUUAGAGAAAUUCUUAGUGGCGGACGGGUGAGUAACGCGUGGGUAACCUACCCAUAAAGCCGGGACAACCCUUGGAAACGAGGGCUAAUACCGGAUAAUCUUAGAAAGCGGCAUCGUUUUUGAAGGAAAGGUGGCCUCUGAAAAUGCUACCGAUUAUGGAUGGACCCGCGUCUGAUUAGCUAGUUGGUGGGGUAAAGGCCUACCAAGGCGACGAUCAGUAGCCGGCCUGAGAGGGUGAACGGCCACACUGGGACUGAGACACGGCCCAGACUCCUACGGGAGGCAGCAGUGGGGAAUCUUCCGCAAUGGACGAAGGUCUGACGGAGCAACGCCGCGUGUAUGAUGAAGGUCUUCGGAUUGUAAAGUACUGUCUUUGGGGAAGAACGGUAGCUAUGAAAUAUUGUAGUUACAUGACGGUACCCAAGGAGGAAGCCCCGGCUAACUACGUGCCAGCAGCCGCGGUAAUACGUAGGGGGCAAGCGUUGUCCGGAAUUAUUGGGCGUAAAGGGCGCGUAGGCGGAUCAUUAAGUCCGGUGUGAAANAUCCAGGGCUCAACCCUGAAGAGUGCAUUAGGAAACCUGGUGGAUCUU